AAUUUUCACUCUGCUGCCCCUGAGCAUAACACUUGGGGUACAGUAGGUACAGGCACGGGUUCCCCAGCCAGUGCGCCACAGUGCCGGACACUCCCUGGAGUUAGCGAGGCCCUGGUGCUAGGACUAGUGCGAGGGCGGGGGACCGCUUCCCCUCCAGCCUCGGAGACGCGAGCCCGGACCUGUCCGGGCCCAACCUGCCCUAGCCAGUCUCGCGGGAUUGCUUAGUUCUCGCGCCCCGUGCGGCUCCCAGAUCCAGGCAACUCGCCAGAGCCAUUUGCUCCCGCCUCGGGGACCCGAGGGGAGGGAGGCGGCGGCGGCGGCGGCGACGACGACGACGACGACGACGACGACGACGACGAUAGCGGCGCUGGCUCUAGGCUCACCCAGAAGUUUCCCCCAGUAAAUCGAGAAGUAAAUUUCAGUAAAAACAACGCCCUAAAGGAUGAUAAAAUAAUGAAAUGAGCAAUUUGAGCAACUUUUUGAUGUUGCCUAAGAUGAUCAAAAUAACUGCAUUCCAAGCCAUGUGGUGAAAUCAGAAAUUUGAAGAAAAUGGAAGCAUUCAUAUUUUUUGUGAUGUGUAUAAUGCUUCCCCUCGUUAGAGGGCACAGUUACUUUACCUGUGAACCAAUUACUGUUCCCAAAUGUGUGAAAAUGACCUACAAUAUGACAUUUUUCCCUAAUUUGAUGGGGCAUUAUGACCAGUCUAUGGCUGCUAUGGAAAUGGAGCCUUUUCUCCCUCUAGCAAAUCUGCGCUGUUCACCAGAUGUCGAUACUUUCCUCUGUAAAGCUUUUGUGCCAGCCUGCACUGAGCAAAUUCACGUGGUUCCUCCUUGUCGAAAGUUUUGUGAGAGAGUAUAUUCUGACUGUAAACAGUUAAUUGACACUUUUGGUAUUACGUGGCCAGAGGAGCUUGAAUGCAGCAGAUUGCAGAAUUGUGAUGAGUCUGUUCCAGUCGCUUCAGACCUUACCACCAAGUUUCACGACCCACCAAAAACACCAGAGCAGGUUCCAAGAGACUAUGGAUUUUGGUGUCCAAGACAUCUGAAGACCUCUGGUGGACAAGGCUACAAAUUCCUUGGAAUUGACCAGUGUGCACCCCCAUGUCCCAACAUGUAUUUCAAAAAUGAUGAAUUAGAAUUUGCCAAAAGCUUCAUCGGAAUUGUUUCAAUAUUUUGCCUUUGUGCAACUUUGUUCACUUUCUUGACUUUUCUAAUAGAUGUUAAAAGAUUUAGGUACCCUGAAAGACCAAUCAUAUAUUACUCUGUCUGUUACAGUAUUGUAUCAUUAAUGUACUUCAUUGGUUUUUUGCUAGGCAAUAGUACAGCCUGUAAUAAGGCAGAUGAAAAACUAGAGCUUGGUGAAACAGUUGUUUUGGGCUCUCAAAAUAAGGCAUGUACAGUUCUCUUUAUGCUUUUAUAUUUUUUCACAAUGGCAGGCACUGUAUGGUGGGUGAUUCUUACCAUUACUUGGUUCUUAGCUGCUGGAAGAAAGUGGAGCUGUGAAGCAAUUGAACAAAAGGCUGUGUGGUUUCAUGCAGUUGCCUGGGGGAUGCCUGGUUUCUUGACAGUGAUGCUUCUGGCAAUGAACAAAGUAGAAGGGGACAAUAUCAGUGGUGUUUGUUUUGUUGGCCUUUAUGACCUUUAUGCUUCUCGAUACUUUGUGUUGUUGCCUCUAUGCCUUUGUGUGUUUGUUGGAUUGUCUCUUCUUUUAGCUGGCAUUAUUUCUUUAAAUCAUGUUCGGCAAGUUAUACAGCAUGAUGGAAGAAACCAAGAAAAACUAAAGAAAUUUAUGAUUAGAAUUGGAGUCUUCAGUGGUUUGUACCUUGUUCCAUUAGUAACACUUCUUGGAUGUUAUGCCUAUGAGCAGAUAUACAGAAUUACUUGGGAAACAACUUGGGUCUCUGACCAUUGCCAUCGAUACCAUAUCCCAUGCCCCCAUCAGGCAAAAACAUUAGCGCGCCCAGAAUUGGCAUUGUUUAUGAUAAAGUAUCUGAUGACACUGAUUGUUGGAAUCUCUGCAGUCUUUUGGGUGGGAAGCAAAAAGACCUGCACAGAAUGGGCAAGUUUCUUCAACAGAAAUCGCAAGAGAGAUCCAAUCAGUGAGAGUAGAAGAGUACUGCAAGAAUCCUGUGAGUUUUUCUUAAAACACAAUUCUAAAGUUAAACAUAAAAAGAAGCACUACAAAUCAAGUUCACACAAACUGAAAGUAAUUUCAAAAUCCAUGGGAACCAGUACAGGAGCUACAACAAAUCAUGGAACAUCUGCAGUAGCAAUUGCUAACCAUGAUUACUUAGGUCAAGAGACUUUGACAGAAAUUAAAACAUCCCCAGAAACAUCUGUGAGAGAUACAGGAGCAGAUGGACCCUCCAUUCAGAAAACAAAAGAAAAUAAUGUGGUAGAGCAUGUAACACCUGCAGAAUCUAGUUCUAAAUUAUCUGUGGAACAGAUGGAAAAAAAGUGCAAGACAGGAAAUUCCAAUGAUAAGAACAGUAUAUCUGGAAGUGUGCGGAGUGAAGGAAGAUUCUCUACAAAGAAUGCUGGAGUCAUUAUCUAGGUCUGCAUUUUGGUUAAAAAAAAAACAAACAACUACACCAAUAGAGUCUAUGAAGGGCAUAGCUUGGCUGUGUUGAUAUUAUUGUUCAGUUGUUUCAGUUGUAUCCAACUCUUCAUGAUCCUGUUUGGGUUUUUCUUAGCAAAGAUUUUGGAGUGGUUUGUCAUUUCUUUCUCCAGCUCAUUUUACAAAUGAAAAACUAAGGCCAACAGACUUAAGUAACUUGCCCAAGGUCACAUAGCUAGCACUGGAUUUGAACUCAGGAAGACGAAUCAUCCUGGUUUCAAAUACUGGCUUUUUUUUUUUUUUACCUAUGCGAAUUCAGACCUGUUUCUUCAUCUAUAAAAUGAGAUUAGAUGAUUUUCUAGCUCUAAAAUACUAUUAUGCUUUGUGUUGUGUAAUGUGUCACCAGAAAAAGCUAAUGUUAUCUUGGGUUUCACCAAUAAACAUAAAAUUUAUAAAAAGAAGAGAAAAAUCACCCAAAGAAAUGGAAAUGGGGGGAAAAAGUGUGGUAUAUGAAUAUAAUGAAAUAUGUAGUAUAAGAGACUAGGAAUUCAAGAGAAGAUUGUUAUGAAAUGAUAUAGAAUGAAAUAAGUAGAACAGUAUACAUAUGUGUGUAUGUAUAUAUGUAUAUAUGCAUAUAUAUGUAUAUACACAGAGAGAGAGAGAAGAGAGAUCAAUAGAAAGAUAUGAACAAUGAUGGUGUAAAUUAAAGUAUCACUAAAAGAAGACUGAUCUUAGUCAUUGGAAAACCAGUGCUAAGAAUCCUAGGAAAAUGAAAAAAUGAGAGGUAUCCAAGGAGCUUCUCUCCUUUCACCAUAACAACUAAUAAUAAGAAAUACCUUCAGAUGAAGAUGUCUUAGCAGUAAUAGAAAAGGAAAAGUUAAAAAACCUUUCACAAAUUUCACAGUAUUAAUUCUCAUAGAAAAAAAUAGUAAAUACUACCUCAGAAGCCUGAUGCUUUUACUAUGUUUCUACCCUUUAUGUUCCCCUUUCUCCUGCACAUGGACCCUAGGUGACCCUGUUGUCCUAAUGGCAGUCAUGAUUUUUUUAACUUAAUCCCUCAUCAUUGUAAUAGAAGGAUUGAGAACAGAUAAGUCCCCAUUCCCAAGGUGGGUAGAGGUUCUGGCACUAGCUUUUCUCACCCCUAGGUUUCCCUCUAUCAGUUUUUUCAGUUUAUGCCUUGGACUGGAUACUGACUUUCAGAGUUAACCUUUCUCCCAAUGAAGACUGAAACUCAUAAAUCAGAGCAGCCCCAAAACUCAGAAAGAAUAAAAGGAAUGAGACUGUGGAGAAGUGUAGAGCCUGAGGAAGAAGAAGAGCCAAUAGAAUGAGUGAGCAUUAGAUAAAAGAGUGAAAAGCAAAGGUUUUUGGAGAAUGCCUUUCAGCCAUAUAGUGGGGAACCCUCCUCAGACCUCUCUGCAACCUGUAUACCUAGGGGCUUGCCAGAAGACUAAAGAAAGUCACUUUAUAAAGAAAAAGGUUGAACCAAGAAAUACAGGAUUGCUAAAGGUAGAAAAAAAAGCAUAAUUACAAUGGCCACCAGCAUUCUCCCUGCAAUAGUAUUUCAACUGGUCAUCUUUUCUUCCUAAGGGGCAUAGCCUUCACCUAACCCUGGUGUUUCUAGAGAAGAGAGCACAAUCAACAGACUUUGUCAUUUCCAACCCUUAAAUGAUUACUUAAUCCCUUAAAUAGUGUUCAGUUUACAGAAGCUCAAAGAUAAAAUUUUAGAAAGGAUACUAUAUGAAAGAGUCAGAAUAAUUAACAUAGACAAAAGCUGACUGUGAAAAUGAAUAAACACUAAAGAAAAGAACAAUUUGAAUGGAAAAGUACUUUAGCAAAAAAAAAAAUUGUGCCAAAAUCCUCUGAGAAAAUUACAGAUAUCAUAAAUUGAAAAAGGAAAUUUAAAUGGCAUAGUCCAAAAAAUCACAGAGAAAAAUUGCCUAGAAAUAUUGGAGGCAGAUAAAUUAUAGGUUCAGAGAAUCCAUAAAGUGCCAGCCGAAAGAAACUAUGUUUAAUUUAUCAUGAAGCAUCAUAAUCAGAGCUCAGAACUACAUUCUCAAAAAAAACUAAUUUUUCAGGCAGCAAGGAAGAAGAUUCUUUUGAGUCCAUAAAGAAUUGGUCAAUUAUGGGACUGGCUGCUAGCUCCCUCUGUGCAGAGGAAGUAUUUGGGCCACUAGAAAAGUGUGAUUCCAAAGACCGAAUAUGGCAUAAUAUAUCCAAAGGGAAUAUGACAUGACAUUAAUGGAGAAAAAAUAUUAAUUUGACACAUUAAGUUUACUUAUUAUGAAUAAGUGAGAAAAGCAAUAUUGAGACAUAAUCUCAAAAAAAUGAUAUCUGUUUGAUUCCAUGGCAAAACAUUCAACAUCAUAUUAAUACAAAUCUGUAUACCAGCCACUGAUGACAAAGAGGCCAAAGUUGAUCAGUUCUAUGAAGACUUUGAGCAUCUUCUACCAGAAAAAGACAUCAUCACAUUCUUAAUAUGGGAUUGGAAUGAGAAAGUAGAAAAUAAAAAUAUAAUUGGAAUAACUUACAAAAAACAAGGGAGAGACUAAUAGAGUUUUUGCAAGAUAACUCAGUACUCACAGAAAAUGCCCUUUCUUUUUUUAAACCCUUUCCUUAUGUAUUAUCAAUAUUGUGUGUUAAUUCCAAGGAAGAAGAGCAGUAAUGGCUAGACAAUGGGGGUUAAGUGACUUGCCCAGGGUCACACCGCUAGAAAGUAUGUAAGGCCAAAUUUGAAUCCAGGGCCUCCCAUCUCUAGACCUGGCUCUCUCUCUACUGAGCCACUGAACUGCUUGCCCCAUAUAUCUUUUUCAACAACCCAAAAGGCACCUUUGCAAAUGGACAUCAUCACACUGUCAGUAUCGAAAUCAAUUUAAUUAUAUAUUUUGCAGCCAAAGGUAGAGAAGCUUAGUACAGAUAGUUAAAACAAGACUUGGAGCUAACUGAGGGACAGAUCAUCUGCUUAUUGCAAAAUUCAAACAUAAAUUGAAGAAAAUAGGGGAAACCAUUAUACUAUAGAGGUAUGUCCUAAAUAACAUGCUUUAUGAAUAUAAAGUAGAAGUGAUAAAUAGAUUUAAGGAAUUAGAUCUGGUAGACACAGUGCCUGAAGAACUAUAGAUAGAGAUAAGCAAUAUUAUACAGGAGGUGGCUACAAAAAAACUUCAAAAGAAAAACCUGGACUUACAUGAAUUGAUUCAAAGUAAAAUAAACAGAAAUAGGAGAACAUUGUACGUAGUAGCAGCAAUAUUGUCCGAUGACUAAUUAUAAAUGACUUAGUGAUUCUCAGCAAUGCAAUGAUCCAAAAGAAUUCUGAAGGAUUUAAUGAUGAAAAAUUCUUUAUCAGUUCCAGAAAGAAAACUGAUAGAGUCAGAAUGCGGAUCAAAGCUUACUUUUUAAAAACUUUAUUUUUCUUUGGUUGUUUUUUUAUCUGUAUUUUUUUGUAAAACAUGUUUCCAUGUUAGGUUGUGAAUGACUGCAUAUGUAUAAUCUAUUUCAAGUUGCUUUCUAUCUCAGGGAGGUAAGGGGGAGGAUAGGAGAGAAUUCGGAAUUCAAUUUCAAAAAAGAAAUAUUAAAAUGUUUACACAUAAUUGGAGAAAAAUAAAGUAUCAAAAGUUAGUUAAUUUUUUAAAAAUUCUACAAGCUAGGCUUCAACUGUGUGUUGUAAAAAAUAGACUCGAAUACAGGACUACAAUCCCCAUGAGCCUUUGCUCCACUUCCCCAGAAUGCCUUGUAAUCUCACCUGGGCCGAGAUCGAGAAGAUAUUUAAGCAAAGGCUUUUGAAGGGCUCGGCCUCUUUUUGGACUUCCAUUUUUGGAGCAGACACAGCUCUUUCCAUAAUGUAGGUGAGGUCUAGGCCUCUGGCCUAGACACGUGUUUUUUCUUAUCCUGUAUUUUCUUUUAAUCCUUAACUUUAAUAAACCUCUAAAAAAUAUAAUACUCCUUGCAGAGAGAAACUAAUUUCUACCUGCCUCAGAUGCCUCAGUCUCCCCAUCUCCCCUAGCUCUGAGGAAGCUUGCUCUGAAGGAAGCUGAAGGUGGGGGCCUCUGAGACUGUUUCUCCAUUUUGGACACGGUAACUCCAAAAGGCAAUUUUACUGAUACUCACCCACUGCAAAGUAGCAAUUUGCAGAUACCCAGCAUUUCGCAACCAGAUAGUCCUAAAGGCUCUACGUCACUGCUCAUCCACUCUGCUUUGGACAUUGGGAAAGAGCAGGGUUCUGGAAACAAUUCAGAUACUUGAAAAAGAAAA
Monodelphis domestica (gray short-tailed opossum) is the source of this 6801-nucleotide non-coding RNA. Lineage: Eukaryota; Metazoa; Chordata; Mammalia; Didelphimorphia; Didelphidae. The record is from RefSeq and is a predicted model, not a curated record.